UGUGAUUAGAAAGAAUUGGAACAGGUCAGG
This 30-nucleotide non-coding RNA is filed under the name Rattus norvegicus (Norway rat). Lineage: Eukaryota; Metazoa; Chordata; Mammalia; Rodentia; Muridae. The record is from RNAcentral.